AAAACGACUCUCGGCAACGGAUAUCUCGGCUCUCGCAUCGAUGAAGAACGUAGCGAACUGCGAUACAUGGUGUGAAUUGCAGAAUCCCGUGAACCAUUGAGUCUUUGAACGCAAGUUGCGCCCGAAGCCAUCAGGCCGAGGGCACGUCUGCCUGGGCGUCACGC
This 164-nucleotide ribosomal RNA is filed under the name Sebaea brachyphylla. RNAcentral's name for it is "5.8S ribosomal RNA". It matches the Rfam family "5.8S ribosomal RNA". From Rfam's summary of the family: 5.8S ribosomal RNA (5.8S rRNA) is a component of the large subunit of the eukaryotic ribosome. It is transcribed by RNA polymerase I as part of the 45S precursor that also contains 18S and 28S rRNA. The record is from RNAcentral. Lineage: Eukaryota; Viridiplantae; Streptophyta; Magnoliopsida; Gentianales; Gentianaceae.